Molecule: transfer-messenger RNA, 349 nt
Filed under: Clostridium sp.
Lineage: Bacteria; Bacillati; Bacillota; Clostridia; Eubacteriales; Clostridiaceae
Also listed under: 5 other names
Rfam family: transfer-messenger RNA
About the family: Bacterial tmRNA, also known as 10Sa RNA or SsrA, is named for its dual tRNA and mRNA-like properties. Its role is to liberate the mRNA from a stalled ribosome.
Source: RNAcentral
GGGGAUGAAAGGAUUUCGACGGGGGAUCCGAACACGGAUAAGCGAGUAGCGGGGCGGGACCGCUAUAAAAUCCGCAAUUCUUAAAAUUAAACGACAACAAUACAGUUGCUCUUGCUGCUUAACUAAGCAGCCGUCUCCUGCCGGAGUACUGCGGCCGGCAACGAGGCGUCGAUCAGCAGUGAACGUGAGCGGGUGACGGCCGAUGCCCCGCCAUGAAUUAUCAGCCUACCGAGCACCUGAGCCUGCCGACCGGCGCUUGUGCAAGGGAAUGUCAAAAGACCGGAUACACUCGUAGAAAGUCCCUGCAAGGGUUUUUCGGACGCGGUUUCGAUUACCGCCAUCUCCACCA